UAAACUACGAUUAGAUACCCUAUUAUUUUAAAUGUAAAAGUUUAAAUCUGAGUAGUAGUAGUUAUGUUCUUGAAACUCAAAGAAUUUGGCGGUGCUUUAGUCCUUUCAGAGGAACCUGCCCCGUAAUCGAUAUUCCACGUUGAAUCUUGCUUAGUCUUGUUAUUCAGUUUGUAUACCUCCGUCGUCAGAAUGUCCUUAUAGGGGAGUAAUUUUCUUGUAUUUAUGAGUAAAAGGGAUGUCAGGUCAAGGUGCAGCUGAUGGUUAAGAGGAGGUGGGUUACAAUAAAAAAAUUUAUUACGGAUAGUGACUUGAAAAUGAGGAAUUUGAAGGUGGAUUUGAUUGUAAUUUUUUAGAUUGGGAAAGUUUGAUUGUUGGCUCUAAAGCAUGCACACAUCGCCCGUCGCUCUUA
RNAcentral lists this ribosomal RNA (409 nucleotides) under Claassenia sabulosa. Its description in RNAcentral is "partial 12S ribosomal RNA". The stretch from base 50 to 409 matches the Rfam family "Eukaryotic small subunit ribosomal RNA", at positions 1118 to 1684 of the family's 1831-position model. Lineage: Eukaryota; Metazoa; Arthropoda; Insecta; Plecoptera; Perlidae. The record is from RNAcentral.